Long non-coding RNA from Oreochromis niloticus (Nile tilapia), 1101 nucleotides. RefSeq lists it as uncharacterized. The record is from RefSeq and is a predicted model, not a curated record. NCBI's taxonomy places the organism in Eukaryota, Metazoa, Chordata, Actinopteri, Cichliformes, Cichlidae. The transcript has 6 exons.
ACUUUUUCCGCAGAGUCGUUUCGUUUCAAGUGUGCGGUGUUUCCACCUAUCUGCACAUGUAUGGAAAUAUCCCUGUUUUCCACAAGGGGUUGUAAAUCAUCUUGGAAGAUACACUCUCAGGGGGCUCAGCUGUCCUCACUUCGAGCAUACACUGCUAGGAUCUCAGUUCAUGUGCAGAGAUAGAGACCACAGAUGGCGCGCAGAGCAACCCCUUCAACCUGGCACACCAAGGGCCCGUCACCGCUGUGAUCUCCGGCGAGGCAGGGACGACUUCGAAAUGUCUGUGAUUUCCAUUUCAGGAUUGUGCAGGUUUAUUGAGCAUUCAGGCUGUUUUUUGGUCAAGUCUGCACUAAAAAAAACCCUGUGGACUUAUGAGCAGAACUGGAAGGACACCAUUAAAUCAUCAACUUGUUAAAACCAGUAACAGGAUGUGGGCCCGCAAUUAAAACCUACACGGCAAGGGAUAAGAGCCGCAAGGGAAUUAAAAGUCUCGGUGGUCGCCUGCAGAGAUCAGACUUGAGCCUGUGGGUAAUUGUUUUCUUGUGAAAUGCAGGACAGCGCUACAGACACCACCAACUCUUCUCUGCUAACCUCCAGAAGGCUGCAGGCGUACAUCUGCGGAGCAGACAUGUGUGCCACAGAAUAAACAGAGGGAUCUUCACAUGUCGGAGAGACGCUCCGCUGCUAGAUUUGUGAAUGAAACCGGCAGACACGCCCUCGGCACAGACUUGGCAAAUGGCAGGUGGAAACACUUUAGCCACACCUCCAAGUGGAAGACUCAGCAGCCAAUGGGAGAGCGGCAAGUGUUACCAGUGUUGCAUAAUUUGGCUGAAGUGCUUCACGUUUGAGCGCUCCGGUGCACGGUGUGAAAGGAUGGAGCUGAGAGACAGACAGCGGAGGUGGAGAAAACUAAAACCGCGACGUCAGUGCCAGAGAUGUUAGAAACAAUAGUCACGAGUCACACAAACCGCUGUCAACAACCCGAGGAAGAGAACAGAUCAGAGUUUCACGAAAAAAACAAAACAACAAACAAAAAUAGCAAAUACUUCAAACACUUCUGAGCAGACCUGGUGGGUUUUUUCCUCACACAUUUGUUUAUCU